Molecule: ribosomal RNA, 254 nt
Filed under: uncultured bacterium
Lineage: Bacteria
Description: partial 16S ribosomal RNA
Rfam family: Bacterial small subunit ribosomal RNA
Source: RNAcentral
UACGUAGGGGGCGAGCGUUGUCCGGAUUUAUUGGGCGUAGAGAGCUCGUAGGCGGUUGGGUAAGUCGGGUGUGAAAACUCAGGGCUCAACCCUGAGACGCCACUCGAUACUGCCCUGACUUGAGUCCGGUAGGGGAGCGUGGAAUUCCCGGUGUAGCGGUGAAAUGCGCAGAUAUCGGGAGGAACACCAGUGGCGAAGGCGGCGCUCUGGGCCGGAACUGACGCUGAGGAGCGAAAGCGUGGGUAGCAAACAGG